Molecule: ribosomal RNA, 253 nt
Filed under: uncultured bacterium
Lineage: Bacteria
Description: partial 16S ribosomal RNA
Rfam family: Bacterial small subunit ribosomal RNA
Source: RNAcentral
UACGUAGGGUGCGAGCGUUAAUCGGAAUUACUGGGCGUAAAGCGUGCGCAGGCGGUUUGUUAAGACAGAUGUGAAAUCCCCGGGCUUAACCUGGGAACUGCAUUUGUGACUGGCAAGCUAGAGUAUGGCAGAGGGGGGUAGAAUUCCACGUGUAGCAGUGAAAUGCGUAGAGAUGUGGAGGAACACCGAUGGCGAAGGCCGCCUCCUGGGAUGACACUGACGCUCAUACACGAAAGCGUGGGGAGCAAACAGG